GAUGAACGCUGGCGGCGUGCCUAAUACAUGCAAGUCGAGCGAACGGACGAGAAGCUUGCUUCUCUGAUGUUAGCGGCGGACGGGUGAGUAACACGUGGAUAACCUACCUAUAAGACUGGGAUAACUUCGGGAAACCGUAGCUAAUACCGGAUAAUAUUUUGAACCGCAUGGUUCAAAAGUGAAAGACGGUCUUGCUGUCACUUAUAGAUGGAUCCGCGCUGCAUUAGCUAGUUGGUAAGGUAACGGCUUACCAAGGCAACGAUGCAUAGCCGACCUGAGAGGGUGAUCGGCCACACUGGAACUGAGACACGAUCCAGACGCCUACGGGAGGCAGCAGUAGGGAAUCUUCCGCAAUGGGCGAAAGCCUGACGGAGCAACGCCGCGUGAGUGAUGAAGGUCUUCGGAUCGUAAAACUCUGUUAUUAGGGAAGAACAUAUGUGUAAGUAACUGUGCACAUCUUGACGGUACCUAAUCAGAAAGCCACGGCUAACUACGUG
This 497-nucleotide ribosomal RNA is filed under the name uncultured bacterium. RNAcentral's name for it is "partial 16S ribosomal RNA". It matches the Rfam family "Bacterial small subunit ribosomal RNA", at positions 28 to 507 of the family's 1533-position model. The record is from RNAcentral.